UCGGUUUUUGUCCACUUCUUCUAUGAUAUUCAAGUUCGGAAGUAUUUGGAUUAUUUUACCCCCAUGAGAUAUUUGUUUUCAACCCCCUCCUUUUUUUUUUUUUUUUUGAAAAUCUCUUAUCUGUUACAAAAAUCAGUAGAAUUACGGCUAGAGCUAAUACGUGUUUUUUUGUCGAUUACCAUAAUAUGAUUUGUAAAUAUGUAGUUGAAAAUAUAGUUUAUGCGUUUUAAAUGUCUAGUGGCGAUAAACCAUAUAUGACCUAUGAAAUCCGAUGAGUCGUUAUUUUAAUUAUGCCCAUGACAGCAAAACAUGAUCGUAUAUCACUAUAUGAUCAUAAUUUAAUACAAAUAAUACGUCUUAAUUUUUCAUUUAUAGUUGACACAUUUACUGUA
Molecule: non-coding RNA, 392 nt
Organism: Cinara cedri
Lineage: Eukaryota; Metazoa; Arthropoda; Insecta; Hemiptera; Aphididae
Source: the annotation of a GenBank genome assembly